UCCAGCCUGCCCAGUGACUAAUASUUWWACGGCCGCGGUACCCUAACCGUGCAAAGGUAGCACAAUCACUUGUCCUCUAAAUCAGGACUAGUAUGAACGGCCCCACGAGAGCUAUGCUGUCUCCCCCCACUAAUCAGUGAAACUGAUCCCCUCGUGAAGAAGCGAGGAUACCCCCAUAAGACGAGAAGACCCCAUGGAACUUUAAACUAGCACCACCUCUCUUCCUAUACCACACCAACAGAACCACAUGACUGCUAGUCUUUCGGCUGGGGCAGCCACGGGGAAAAACAGAACCCCCGAGAUGAAAAGAACCCCCUCUAAUCCAAGAACUACCAUUCAAAGAAUCAACAAAUGACAUUAUUGACCCAACAAUUGACCAACGAACCAAGCUACCCUGGGGAUAACAGCGCAAUCCAUUUCAAGAGACCUCAUCAACAAAUGGGCUUACGACCUCGAUGUUGGAUCAGGGCAUCCCGGUGGUGCAGCCGCUACCAAAGGUUCGUUUGUUCAACGAUUAAAACCCUACGUGAUCUGAGU
Molecule: ribosomal RNA, 537 nt
Filed under: Stumpffia grandis (giant stump-toed frog)
Lineage: Eukaryota; Metazoa; Chordata; Amphibia; Anura; Microhylidae
Description: partial 16S ribosomal RNA
Rfam family: Bacterial large subunit ribosomal RNA
Source: RNAcentral